This is a non-coding RNA of Pangasianodon gigas (Mekong giant catfish), 72 nucleotides long. Lineage: Eukaryota; Metazoa; Chordata; Actinopteri; Siluriformes; Pangasiidae. The record is from the annotation of a GenBank genome assembly.
UCCCUGGAGGACUAGUGGUUAGGCCUCGGCACUCUCACAGCCAUGGCCUUGGUUCAAUUCCUUGCCAGGGAA